GACGAACGCUGGUGGCGUGCUUAACACAUGCAAGUCGAACGGAAAGGCCCUGCUUGCAGGGUACUCGAGUGGCGAACGGGUGAGUAACACGUGGGUGAUCUGCCCUGCACUUCGGGAUAAGCCUGGGAAACUGGGUCUAAUACCGGAUAGGAGCCAUUUUUAGUGUGAUGGUUGGAAAGUUUUUUCGGUGUAGGAUGAGCUCGCGGCCUAUCAGCUUGUUGGUGGGGUAAUGGCCUACCAAGGCGGCGACGGGUAGCCGGCCUGAGAGGGUGGACGGCCACAUUGGGACUGAGAUACGGCCCAGACUCCUACGGGAGGCAGAAGUGGGGAAUAUUGCACAAUGGGCGCAAGCCUGAUGCAGCGACGCCGCGGGGGGGAUGACGGCCUUCGGGUUGUAAACUACUUUCGCUAGGGACGAAGCUUUUUGUGACGGUACCUAGAUAAGAAGCACCGGCUAACUACGUG
This 465-nucleotide ribosomal RNA is filed under the name uncultured bacterium. Its description in RNAcentral is "partial 16S ribosomal RNA". It matches the Rfam family "Bacterial small subunit ribosomal RNA", at positions 28 to 507 of the family's 1533-position model. The record is from RNAcentral.